Molecule: ribosomal RNA, 470 nt
Filed under: uncultured bacterium
Lineage: Bacteria
Description: bacterial SSU rRNA
Rfam family: Bacterial small subunit ribosomal RNA
Source: RNAcentral
GGCCAGACUCCUACGGGAGGCAGCAGUGGGGAAUCUUCCGCAAUGGGCGAAAGCCUGACGGAGCAACGCCGCGUGAUCGAAUGAAGGCCUUCGGGUUGUAAAGAUCUGUUGACAGGGACGAAUAAGCAAUGCGAAUAGUUUUGUGUAUGACGGUACCUGUUUAGAAAGCUCCGGCUAACUACGUGCCAGCAGCCGCGGUAAUACGUAGGUGGCAAGCGUUGUCCGGAUUUACUGGGUGUAAAGGGCGUGUAGCCGGGCUGACAAGUCAGAUGUGAAAUUCCGGGGCUCAACCCCGGACCUGCAUUUGAAACUGUUGGUCUUGAGUAUCGGAGAGGCAGGCGGAAUUCCUAGUGUAGCGGUGAAAUGCGUAGAUAUUAGGAGGAACACCAGUGGCGAAGGCGUCUUACUGGACCGAAACUGACGUUGAGGCUCGAAAGCGUGGGGAGCAAACAGGAUUAGAUACCCCCGUA